UGUACUGAGCUUAUGUUCUCCACCCACUACUUAGUAAGAACUCCUUAACAACUUAAAGCUUUAUCCCUGUGAGUACCAGAAAAGUGAUUUGAGUAUUUAUUGAGCAGGGAGAACAAACUGCUUGCUCCAGGCAGGGAGAAAGCUUAUGGAAAUUAUAUUAGACCUUCAGCAAAGUGCACAGCUGCAUCAUACAGAAGCUGAGACUCAAACUGACAGGCAAAUAAGCCAGAUCACGGAAGGGGCCUCUGUGUGGCAGCUCUGAGCUACCAAGUGUUGGACAACUAGGCAAAAAGUGCAAUGGAACAGGGCAGAAAAUAACACACUAACUUCAGGCAACUGUUGCUUUUUCAUGGCCUGGAAAGUAACAUUUUCUGUAGAUGUCAGCUUCUGUCUGGUGUGAUGCCCCAUUCUUCUGGUGAUGACACAUGCCACUACUGAGUAGUACUGGCAAAUGGAAGAGGCCUCUUGGAAUAAGGUGAACAGCUGCCUUUCCGUUUUGCAGCGGGACCGUGUCUGCUGCUGCACAAGCCGCAGAGCUGUUGGGGAAUGGUACAGACAGUGAGAUGUGGGUCAGUACUCGGUGGCAGUUUGAAGGAAGAACAGAGCAGAGCAAGAGAAGCCAACUUUAGGAGCAUUCAUAUUGUGGUAUCCUCAGCGAUUUUUUUUACAACACAUUCUGCUCAGGCCAGUGAAUUUUUUUUACUGACCAGUGAAAGAAAAAAAAUAAAAUGAAAAAGGAAACUGAAGAACUUAAUUAUACCAGAAUUCAGCGAAGCUGAACGGCUUCCCGAAGAGCACUGAGUUUUCUAUGCCAGAUUCUGCUCCAGUGGCUAGGACCUUUAUGGCUGCUGUUUCUUUUGCUCUGGGCUCUGAUGGAGGAAAAAAAAAAAAAAAAAAAGCCACGGUGGAUCCCGUCCCUAAAGUAGAAAUUUUCUUUUUCGUUCUGCAUACAAGGCUAAAGACCGGAGGAGAAUGAAUGCGAAAGUAAUUCGGGAUCGUGGUCGUGCCAUUAAAAGUGUUCGGCUUCAGAACGAAAUUAUUCGGGAAAUCUGAGCAUUUCUUCUUACUGUACCGACAGUAUUUGAAAGUUACGUGUGCUUUGAGCAAUCUGGUUCAAGUGACAACAAUCUCUGCAUGUCAAUGUUUUCUACAGCUUAUGGAGCGAAAGCUAGUUUUGCCAUUGGAAAGGAAGAAGCUUUUGCUAGCAGUCUGUAGAAGGAUUAAAUGUUGAGCGUGGGGAAGAGGCAAAAAGUGAAUACACGCCCAAAGGUUAUCCUUGCAUCGUGAAUGGGUUUAAAGUACUCUGUAACCCAGGGCCCACCUGAACAGUAGGACUAAAAGUAGAAUGAGGAAAUAUUUCAAUUAGAAGCCCCUUAACAAGCAUUUAAUCCUUCUUUCAGGCAUUAAGGGAAAUAGAGUAAAAUUGUUACUGUACAAAUCUGCUGGAAGCAGAUUUUAACCCAUUUUUAGACGCUUCCCUCUGGUGCAUUAUAAUAUGGCUACUUGCAAGACGAGGCAGUGAAGAUUUUUUUCCUGUGUUCUUUGUUUUUUCUUUUCAAAAGUUAAGGACUAUAAUGUAAGAAAAGUCUGUUCAGUCAGCUGAUACAUUGUUUGAAUGUA
This is a non-coding RNA of Phalacrocorax carbo (great cormorant), 1620 nucleotides long. NCBI's taxonomy places the organism in Eukaryota, Metazoa, Chordata, Aves, Suliformes, Phalacrocoracidae. The record is from RefSeq and is a predicted model, not a curated record.